UGAGGAAUAUUGGGCAAUGCCCGCAAGGGUGACCCAGCAACGCCGCGUGGAGGAUGAAUGUCGUAAGAUUGUAAACUCCUGUUAGAGGGGAAGAAUAGUACCGGUUGGACCGGUAUAUGACUGUACCCUCAGAGAAAGCCCCGGCUAACUACGUGCCAGCAGCCGCGGUAAUACGUAGGGGGCAAGCGUUGUCCGGAUUUACUGGGUGUAAAGGGCGAGCAGGCGGGAUAAAAAGUCAGUGGUGAAAUCCUACAGCUUAACUGUAGAACUGCCUUUGAUACUUCUAUUCGUGAGUUCGGGAGAGAGAGACGGAAUUCCAGGUGUAGUGGUGAAGUACGUAGAUAUCUGGAAGAACACCAGUUGCGAAGGCGGUCUCUUGGUCCGACACUGACGCUGAGGCGCGAAAGCGUGGGGAGCAAACA
RNAcentral lists this ribosomal RNA (422 nucleotides) under uncultured bacterium. Its description in RNAcentral is "bacterial SSU rRNA". It matches the Rfam family "Bacterial small subunit ribosomal RNA", at positions 355 to 774 of the family's 1533-position model. The record is from RNAcentral.